CCAGGAAGCACCGACCUCCCAACCCUUUGUGUCUAAUUUACCUUGUCGUUGCGUCGGCGGACCAGGUUGACCAACUGGUCUUGACCGCCGGGGGGGCUUCCCCCCCCUGGAGAGCGUCCGCCGACGGCCCAACCACAAAACUCUUGUACCAAACCAUGUCGUCUUAAUGUACUUGAUUAAGAAUCAAAAAACAAAACUUUCAACAACGGAUCUCUUGGUUCUGGCAUCGAUGAAGAACGCAGCGAAAUGCGAUAAGUAAUGCGAAUUGCAGAAUUUCCGUGAGUCAUCGAAUCUUUGAACGCACAUUGCGCCCACUGGUAUUCCGGUGGGCAUGCCUGUUCGAGCGUCAUUAUCCUCCCUCAAACCCCGGGUUUGGUGUUGGACCCAAGUUGUGCAUCUGAACAACUGGUCUCAAAGACAAGUGACGGCGUCCGUGGGACCCUCAGGUGCAACGAGCUUUCAGGAGCACGCGUCGAGUUUAAAGGACCUUCCGGGCCGGUCUCCUUUACAUCUUUAUUUACAAGGUUGA
RNAcentral lists this ribosomal RNA (529 nucleotides) under Knufia petricola. RNAcentral's name for it is "eukaryotic LSU rRNA". The stretch from base 195 to 349 matches the Rfam family "5.8S ribosomal RNA". The record is from RNAcentral. Lineage: Eukaryota; Fungi; Ascomycota; Eurotiomycetes; Chaetothyriales; Trichomeriaceae.